Long non-coding RNA from Zea mays, 1805 nucleotides. RefSeq lists it as uncharacterized. The transcript is spliced from 3 exons. The record is from RefSeq and is a predicted model, not a curated record. NCBI's taxonomy places the organism in Eukaryota, Viridiplantae, Streptophyta, Magnoliopsida, Poales, Poaceae.
CCUCAUAUCUCAACCCACUAGUUCCCCUCCUCUCUUUCUCCCUCGCGCUCGACUCCCCUGCCGCCCCUUCCCGUCCCCACCCCGACGCUGGCCGCCAUCCCCGCUCCCCUCCCCCACCCCAACACGAUGAAUGGGACGUCUGUGCCCGCCCCUGCCCUCCUUCUCCCUCGCAUCUGGUGGUUUCCCUCCGCAAAGCAGGCAGCAGGCGACGACAUCGACAGUCGCAAGCAUCAACGACCAUCGAUGACUAACAACACCUUUCCUUCGGCCCAAGAUCGGCAUCUACAAACUCCUUCAAACAUCUGUGCCUGGAUCCAAGCUCAAACCAUGGGUAAGAAAACGCAUUGCAUUUUCGGCGUCCUCCUCCUCGGAUCGGUCGACUGCCCCGGAUCGACAGCUUGUUCGGUGAUAGAGUGCUCUGCCUCCCCCUUCUGAGUUCCGAAAGUGUGUUCCCCCAUUUUUGGAUGAACCCUAACAACAUCUUAUCUAUAUAUGACCUCGAUGUGGCAUGACAUUUUGGCCUCCUCCUAAGACAAAUACAUUGUUGUUAGCUUCUGGAUUACCAAUAUCUAGUAGAGUAGCUUCGAUUUGGAUUUAGGAUCGCAUGACUUGGUCGCUGUGUACUUCAAUCUGUUAUUAAUAGAUCAUGAAGUCAAGAUUUGUUGCAAUAACUAAAAAAUUGCUUUAUGUCACCUAGCCAUUCCUAGAAAAGAAAGGGCAAACUCUCCUGGAUGGUAUUGUAUAUAUUUGCAGUAGGGUGAACUUUUAGGGUCAUGCAUAUACACAUAGGAAGGACCUAUGUUAACUUGGAAUUGUUCAAGAAAUAUGUCAUCCAAAGCAAUGUCUUAGCAUGUAUGAUGUACUUUUUAUCACAAAAUGUCUGUGGUAUGGACCAAUGAAAUGCAUUUAUGCCUUCGGCUAAUUUUUUACGCUCACAAUUUCAUUUACUCCAUUUGUUUGUAUACUUCUGCGAGGCAAUGUAAACGGCAUGGGCACAAUUUUGCUGACCACGCCGGAGAGCAAAGAGGGAGAAAGGGAGAAGAAGAGACGGCGCGCGCAACUCAUCAUAUGGCUCCACUGACGUCGUCGACUCCGACAACAACGAGUAGGAGAUCACCAUCGUGGGGUUGCUGUGGAAUGGUGACCACCUCGACAUACAGCUCAAAGGUUGGCAAAGAGAAGCUGGUUUUGGAAAUUGGUUAGGCGGUUCUACAACGCCCUUGCUCUAAACCUUGUUUCUUGGGUCAAGCAAUGAAUAAACUACUACCCAUUGAAAUUGUGGAUCUACUUUAUUGGGACACUUUGGCUACAACCCAUAAAAAUAAGAGAUCAUUAGUCCCAGAGCUAGCGGAUUGUAGUUGACUUCAACUGCUUCUACAUGGUGAUGCUCGCGCACCUUGCAUUUGGAUUUACAACCCGCCAAAUUGAGCUGACAGGAAUACACAACAUCCUGGUCGGUUUGUUGGUGUUUGUGACUCGACCGCGCACCAUGGGGUUACCCACAUGAUGCUUUUGGGUAGGACGGCGUCGUUGAUUGCGACUCGAUGGUACGUGCGGAAGCACGUCAGUAUUGCUCCUAGGUUUAUAUAGGUUUGGGCCGCUUUGAAUUGUGUAACACCCUACUUCCUGUUGUGGCUAUGUAUUGGUUUCUGGAGUAUGAGGAUUACAAAUAGGCUUUGGGAUGGCUCGGUUGCUGUUGAUGAGGAUGGGGUGAGAUGAGAUAAUUUUGUAGGGGCCCUCCUCGGCUUACAUACAUGACCAGAGAGUUAUCCCUUUACAAGUUGUGAUCACUAUUACUUCACUUA